AAAUGUCAAAUAUUUCUGCACACAAUUGCAUUAAAAAUGUGCAUUUUUUCACAGCUCUACCAUCAUGUGCACUGCUUUAUAUUCCUUGCUAACCAGUACUGAUUGCCAAGAUAUUCAUAUGUACAAAGACUUCAACACAAAGAGCGUAACAAGAUCUAGCAGAGGUACAGAAGCAACAGUACAUCAGUGGAGUACAAGUGCAGAGCUUCCUCUACAGAAAGUUGGUUUAAUGGUUACUGAAAAUAAAAAACAGUUGAUUGACAUAAUCUGUACAGAACUCAUUUAGGAUAAGAAGUUUCACCAACGACACACAUUAAAGCUAGUCAUCACAGGCAGAGGCAACAUCCCAACUGAAAAAAACCAGUGAGGUGUGGUGAUCAACUAAGAUAUUAUGUCCAACUCAAAAGAGAAAGCCAAAACAUCCUUGUACAACAAAUGUGAUGUUUGUAAAAGACAGCAUAGCGGGGACACCAAUAUUAUUAUAUGACUAUGAAGAUUUUGUCUUACUCUUGCACCAUUACCUUGAGCAGGACCUAACAUCUUAAGUGACUAUGGAACCCACAGUCCAAGAGAGAACUGUAAUAGGCAUUGGUGCUACUGUAGAUCAACACCAGAGCAUUGUUCCAGGACUAUUAGCUGCCCAGGCACUCUCAGGGUGUGAUACAGUAGCUUCCUAUUGUGGCUUCAGCAAAGGCACUGGGUUGAAGAUUCUGUGACCUGGAUACUCCCUCUCUGUCUGUUGGUGACAACAGAGCAGAGAUGCCUGAUGUCAUUGAGGAAGCAACCAAAUUCUGCUGCAUGCUAUGGACAAUCAGGUUGUGCCACAAUGCCAGAAGCACAUCAGAAAUCGUGGUCAGCAAAAAUUUGCAAAAAGUGCACAUCAACAUUAGAGCUUAUCUCCUAAUCACCAACAACUGAAACAUUAUAUAUAAAUAUAAAAUGAGCAUGUCUUCAGGCAAGCAUAUGCAAAAGUGCUUUGGAUCUGGAUAAUCCACUGAAAUAUAGAUGGAUAUGGAAUGGCAGUUCCAAGUCUGUGUUUCCAAAAAUUGUACCAAAGGUGCAUUUGCCCCUCCAGAUAUUAUGAAGUUAAUCAAGUGCUCUUUUAAGAAUGAUGCACCUGGUAAAUUUAUAAGAUGUGUAUGUAACCAUACCAAAUUGCAUUACUAUACUCUGUGCAUGCCAAGGAGGUGUGGUAUAUUGCA
This 1202-nucleotide long non-coding RNA is filed under the name Chrysemys picta bellii (western painted turtle). Its description in RNAcentral is "lncRNA (ENSCPBG00000017016.1)". Lineage: Eukaryota; Metazoa; Chordata; Testudines; Emydidae. The record is from RNAcentral.